GGCGGGGUGUGUACUUGUGUGACUUGAUGUGGCGUUGCAUGUGGAAGGCCCCGUUGGUAAUGAUCGCAGACUGGUCAUUUGAUGAUACGUGUGCACAGUGGUAGUGCUUGGGUGCCUCAAGAGGGAAUCGCAGAAUAUAGCCAUAGAUCUAAAAGUCAUAGAAGAUUUUUUAAACUGUUAUUUGAUUUUGUGUUGUUUCAGCAGUAGUAUGUCCUUCAACAAUCUGUUAUGUCCAACCAUGGAGUGAGUCGCAUGUGACUAAGUCAACCAAACAGGAAAACAACAACAAUCAGUCAGCAAUGGAAUUAGUCAGUGGAAAACAACACCUUCAAUCCUGAGGAUGGUUUUGAGUUUAUCUAUUGCCUUCCGAACUUUACCAUUUUCAUGGUAUACUUAAUUGCUUGUCGGUGGAUUGUUGUUGGCAUCAUUUGAAUGGUAUGGUCCAUAUAAGCAGUGUUAUGAUGCACUUCUUAAAUACACCAAUCCAUGAGAAAAUAUUCUAAUUGAAAUUAUGGAAAUUUCUGCCCUUCAUGCAGAACUGCACAAUGAUGGGUUUGUAUAAACAAGCUUAAAAUAACAAACAGUAUUUUUGGUUUGGCUUACACAUACAACUCUAUGACAUGUUGAUGUUAGCUAAAUUGUUAUUAAUCAUAGGACUAGGUAGUAUGAAAUGAAAUAUCUUCUCUUGGAAGCUUGUGUCUAUGGGUUUGUUUGAGAUGACCCUUAAGGCAGGAAGCUUUUCCUGCUUCUUACGAAAAGGGACAUUGGAUGCCUUGAUGUCUAAUACCAACCAAGUGACAUUGCAAAGAUAGGUAGAGUAAUCGCAAUGUUGUGGAAAUAAUUCGCGAGAGAUAUGCCAAUAGGGUUUCGCUGUUUUCAAUUCGCAAUCAUAAUGGAUUCGAAGAGGAUAUUGAUGGAGUUUUGGUAUAAAAGAUUGUUUAAAGGUUGAUUUUCAAUAGACAUAGAUAGUCAUUUGAAUGGUGCUGUUCAUAUCUGCAGCCUUGCAGUGUGCAAAAAUAGACGGUAAAAAAAUCUGCUCAUCAUGCCGAUCUGCACGAUGCCAGCUUCAUUAAGCAAUCUUGAAAUGACCUAUGAACAGACUACACAGUAUUAAAGGACUUUUCCCCUGAGAAAAUUUGUAGCUGUGGACUUUCUUUAGAAUACUCUUGUAUCAAAUAUUUUCCUGCUUCUUGAAACAUGGAAAAUAGGAUUUCUCGAUGCCAACCAAAUGUCCUUGCAAAUAUUGUAAAAAGAUGUUAAAGCAGGAAAUAUCUAAAGUUGGAGGACGGUACAUUUUUGUUUCCCGUUACUAGUUUUGUAAAAACAAAUGGUAAAUUGGUGAAAUUAAACAACACAUGACCUAUCACUUUAGAUCAAUUGUUUUCACCAGUGGAGAUUGAUUCCACAAUCUUCAGCUUCCCAGGCAGACACCCAUCCACAAAGCCAUGAGUGAUAGAUGAUAUCAAAAAUGUCUUAAUGAAAAAAUUUACAUUUUAGGUUAUUGAUUUCAUAGUCAAAGAACAAUAUGUAAAACCUGAUAGUCUAGCCCUCAAAACCCCAGCUGCCCGUAUGCUUCAACAAGGGUAUAAAGCUAUUAUAAUUUCAGGAGUUAAACAUUGAAACCAAAAACAAAUCAGACAUUUUUUAGUUGGCUUUUUUGCUUAAUGAUAUUGUUAUAAUUAACUUUAGAAAACAUGGUAUUGUAUACAGAUAUUAAGAGUCAAGUUAAUGAAAUGGUUGCAAGCCGAAAAUGAAUUUUGCAUUACUUUUGAACAGGUCCCAACUCAGUAUACGCAGCGGAUGCCCCUACUAUACAACCCAGCAAUCUUUACUUCAGUGCCGGGAAUUUGUUAUGCUCUUAUGCAUGCAAUUGCUCAACAAGGAAUUCGGUAACCAAUUCUGUUGUAUGUAAAAUUUUUAUUAUUCAACUUAUUUCACAGCAGUAUUCAAC
Long non-coding RNA from Daphnia magna, 1951 nucleotides. RefSeq lists it as uncharacterized. The transcript is spliced from 9 exons. NCBI's taxonomy places the organism in Eukaryota, Metazoa, Arthropoda, Branchiopoda, Diplostraca, Daphniidae. The record is from RefSeq and is a predicted model, not a curated record.